This 205-nucleotide long non-coding RNA is filed under the name Manihot esculenta (cassava). RNAcentral describes it as "long non-coding RNA (MESC_LNC005658)". Lineage: Eukaryota; Viridiplantae; Streptophyta; Magnoliopsida; Malpighiales; Euphorbiaceae. The record is from RNAcentral.
GAUGAUCUGAGAUCCAGAAAAUAGGGUUUUACAAUGGGUUCUGUAAAACUGGAAAAGUUUAGACCUAGAGGAGAGUAUUUCUCCUUUUAUAUGUUUCCUUUUGUCUACUAGUGACGUGUUAACAGAACGUGUAUCAUUGGACCACUUGUCCCUGCUACGUUGAUACGAACGUACGAGGGAAUCAGAUCUCUGUCCCAUGCGUAAC